UCCCGCUUCUUAGCUCUUCUUUCUCAUGCUCCUGUUAGCCUGCAAUUGUCCAAAUCAGUAAUGUUGUUUUCUUUUAACGGUCUUUCUUUUGAACCUCUAAAUCUCUCGUGUUGCUAACCUAUCUACACCAGGAAGGAAUAGAAAUUUACCACAGUAUGACACCAAAUGUAUUAGAAAAUCCAUAUGUCGUAAAGUGUUGUAUUAUUACUAUCUUCCACUAUCUGUCCUAUUCACUCCCUCCUUCUGAGGCUUGGCAACGCCCAUGCCUCACACCUUGACAAACCUUCUGGGA
This is a long non-coding RNA of Syngnathus acus (greater pipefish), 292 nucleotides long. RefSeq lists it as uncharacterized. The transcript is spliced from 2 exons. The record is from RefSeq and is a predicted model, not a curated record. Lineage: Eukaryota; Metazoa; Chordata; Actinopteri; Syngnathiformes; Syngnathidae.